GAAAGGAGACAGAGAAAGGUGACAGCCAAAUGCACGUGGGAGCUGGGAACAGAGGAGGGCACUGGGAGGGGCCUGCCUGCCGUCCAGCUCUCGAGACCACGGCGAGAUUCAGAAGGGAAUUGGGCCAUUCCUUCUCCAAAGCAGAACGUACUGCAGCUGUGAGAGUUCUAGGAGAAAAUUCAGAUGAACUUUCAAAUCAGCUUCUCAAGUGUCAACAUCCUGUUGCGAUUUUCAUUGAUAUUGAACUGAAUUUA
Molecule: long non-coding RNA, 254 nt
Filed under: Homo sapiens (human)
Lineage: Eukaryota; Metazoa; Chordata; Mammalia; Primates; Hominidae
Description: non-protein coding lnc-KLF15-2:3
Source: RNAcentral